ACGAGACGCAACUGCCCAGUUGGCAGCUCCUGCCUCGCCCCCCCCCCUUGUCUCCCCGUCCUUUGCCUGGAACAUGGAGAGGGAGAGCCCGGCUCCGGCCCACGCAGCCCAAGGCCGGCACGGCCCGACCCCGGCGCACACCGGCAGCACCCGCUUCCGAAGCCUGCCCAGAGCGCCAGCCAGCGUGUUGCCAAGCGGUCCGGCCCCUCAGCCCUUCCCUCUCCCUCCUCUUCGUCGUCGUCUCCAAGCGGAAAACGAUCCCUCCGCUCCGCACUUCAAAGGACUCGGGAAGGCUGGUGUAUCCCGGGCAAUGCACGGCCAAGCAAGCCAGACGCACGGGACGCCCCCCGGUGCGGGUCUCCGGUCAUCUCCGGCCUUUGACUCACGGGCAGCCCAAACUGUCGAUUCAAAGUCGCACUAGCAGCCCACGAACCGCGUGCUCACAGGCGGUGGCUCAGACUGGAAGCGGCACCCCGCACCAGGCACACCUGUAAACCGUGGGUGAAUCAUUUGCCCCCGGAUGACCCGCAGUUUGCCACCGCAUGCAGACAAGGUCAGGCGAAGAGGUGCGUUCCGAGGCCGUGACCUGGGGCAAAGCCGCCGAAGCCUUCCUUCCGCUCAUAAAGCAAGCGGGCGACAUGAAAACGAUUCCCCACCGGGCCUGUUUCAUUCAGGAAACCAGUUCUGGAGAACGAACUUGAUCGCAGGAGAGGCCCUUAACUAACGAGCCCUGCAGUCGUCCAGCGCGGCUGCUCUCGGCAGUGACCUCAGGAUUAAUCAGAGGCAAGGCGAGGCGAGCCGAGGGACCCUUGUCCAGGGGCCCUUCCCAGUUUUUGUUCAUCUCACUGAUUAAUCCAGUGAUUAUAUAAAAUGAUGAGAGGCAGGGGGGACUUGGGAGCUGUCCCUGGGCCAGAAACCCUAAAUCGGAUAAAUUGUGGGAUCCCAGGCGGUCCUGGUCAGUCAUCUGAAGGGGAGGGGGGUCUCCUUGUCAGACUGCUGCUGGCGAGGGCCUUUAUAGCGCCCCCGACCCGCAGGGUGGGGGCCCCCAGCCCCGCCGCCCAAGCCUGCCACUUCUUUCUGCAGGAGCCCCGUCUGGGCUGGGCUGGGCUGUGACGAGGGCCGCUGGCUGAGGUGUAAGCCCUCAUUUGCAUUCCCUCCGAGUCCCUUCUGUGCAGAGCUUUCUUCCUUUCCCAAAAGGGGAGGCUUAGCGGAGAGAUUCUGAACCGCAUUUGCAUUCCCGAGACAAGCGCUCCGGCAUUAAUUCAUCUCGGCACAAGGGUCCCCUUCCGCUCGUCGCCCCCUCCAUGAGACCCGGGAUGAAUGCCGCGAGGGCCUUUGGGUCUUCCGCCGCCGCCGCACCGUGCCACGCAGGAUUACAAGGGAUUGCGAGGCUUCCCUUUUCUUUUACUCCCAGCUUUCCGCAGCGGGGCCUUGUUUUGCUAUUACAAAUACCGCGGGAUAAUGCUCUUAGCCCCAUUAGCUGUCGUAAUGGCCUUGCCUCCAAAUGCCCCCGCAGACGCCCCCAGCUGCAGGGAGCGCACAGGGUGGAACGGUGUGGAGGGCCGGGGAGAUGCCGGCCAGGCUCCUACCCAGCCGCAAUCUGUAUUCUCAUCUCAGCCCUCACAGAACUGUGAUCAGAAUAACCAAGGUCUCAUCAAAAAUUCAGGCCUUAUUGACUUUCCCGCAUUCACAGCCAUUUCAUGCUGCUCAGAAGCCUUAAAAAAAGCCUUUCGCAGGCACAAACACGGAGGAAGUGUGGCUGCCUGGGAAGCGCGCCUGCCUCCGCCAUAUGGAGACAGGAGGGGUCUCUCCCCGGAAGGCCAGCCCAUCCAUCCAGGUGUGCUUACAGUGACAGGGCUCUUAUCUGGGCAGACCAGUGGAGGCCGCGCCACUCCCGCAGCUGAGCCAGGGCUGGAAAGGCUCGUGGUGUCCAAGAAUACGGCAGGGCCCGAUCCACACAGAGGGCCGUCUGCACGCACCCACUGAUGAACAGAACAAGGUACACAAGGUGCCCCUGCGUGGUGUUGGCACUCACCUGCGAGGGAGGAGCCCGCGGCUCCCCUACGCCACCAGUGCCUUGGCCCACCUGCCAGCGCACCUGCUGUACACAGCACCAAUGACCAGCCUAUUUCCAGGCACAUCUCACCUUUCUUAUGUAUUUAUGCAUUAGGUUUCUGUCCCACAAUUCCCCCCCCCCCCUUUUUAAAAAAGCAAAAAACCCGCCGGCGUGCCCCCCCCCCCGGCUCCUGCCCUCAACUGCACCCGCACAGCAACCACCCAGUGACGGUGGCUGGGCUGAGCGCCUGGGCGAGACUGGACUCCCAAAGCCGCCACGUGGCUCCGUGGCUGAGCAGGGGCCGGAACCCGGACCGCCCGAGCCCCUGCCCCGUGCUCUUCACCGCUGCGCCACGCGGCUCCCUCUCCAGCCUUACGACCGAGAAGGUCCCACGCAGCUGGCUUGGUGCCAAGCUACCGGAAGGGCCGCCCAGCCCCAUGAAAGCACGCCUGCUUCCAGGGUCUUCCAGGAAAGUCCUUCCUUCCUUUGCGGCUGCCAGCUUUGGGCAGCGGGGCCUUUUUGGUGGCCACUUCCAGACUUUGGCACCCGUGCCUAAGGGCGGCCGCUUCACGCCUUCGCUUUUGGCAGCUCGCAGGCUAAGCUUGCUCCACGCAGGAAGCCCUCGGUGCGGGAGCGGCCCUCUUGGGUUCGGCGCAUGAACACAUGCAUAAAAUACAGUCAGAGAGACUCUGCCGCCCCCAGCGCAGUGCAAGUGCCUCGCAGAUGCUACUGCCCACGAGCGGCUCAAAGACUCGCACAGGACCAUGAACUCCUGAAUGCAAAUUGGCGCAAUGUCGGGCGCAAGCUGCUCCCCCAGGACUGCGGCCACACCGGCCUCUGGGGGGGCUGCUCCAGCUGGCGGCCCACAGCACUGCCGCCACGCGGCUUCGCUGCAGAGCCACACCGGCAGCCACGGCACCUCGCGCUCACGAUCUGCACACCUCUGUGCUGUGACAGCUCUGGCUUCCCAUGAUGUAAUAAUAUUAUUUUUGAGAUGGGUCAGGGUAUAAAAUGCGCGCACCCACCGUCUUUAAUAUUAAUAAGCCUUGUAACUAGUGGUUCCUCGUAGCUCCGAAUUCUUGAGCACAACUAGAAAGGGCACUUAUCCUGAAAAAUCUAAUAAAUUUACAGUUUUAUAUACUUCCUUCAAUUGUAAAAGUCUUGUUCAAUAAACUUUAAAAUGCCACUAUAGAGCAAUAACACAGACAGUAUAAAGCCAGCCCAGGGAAAGCUGCACAACCCGGAAUGGUUCCCCUUUCUGCUACAGCAAUAAAGUUUUAUAUGUUUGAACUGACUGUAAAAAGGUUUGAAUGUUGGCAACUGGGGAAUAAUCUGUCUUCUUUAUAGUUAUUAUCAUAUUUCCCACAAGACCCCUUGGUCUGUGUCAAUCCUUCUUGUAUAUGACACCUUUGUACUGUCAGCGAAAGCUAGAAUACUUUACCUGUUUGUUGCUUUUUUUCAUCCGAUAGGUCUUGUGUCUGUAUUCCUUCAGAUUACAGCCAGCAGGAAUAAAUUACUUGUGACAAGUUUCAAUUGCACAUUUUACCAAAUAACACUAAGGCAGAGCUGCCUUUUCUCCAGGAAAAAAUUAAUAAAUGAUUAUAUUUACUCAUCA
Molecule: long non-coding RNA, 3671 nt
Organism: Varanus komodoensis (Komodo dragon)
Lineage: Eukaryota; Metazoa; Chordata; Lepidosauria; Squamata; Varanidae
Exons: 2
Source: RefSeq, a predicted model, not a curated record